UACGUAGGGUGCGAGCGUUGUCCGGAAUUACUGGGCGUAAAGAGCUCGUAGGCGGUUUGUCGCGUCGUCUGUGAAAACUCGGAGCUUAACUCCGGGCGUGCAGGCGAUACGGGCAGACUUGAGUACUACAGGGGAGACUGGAAUUCCUGGUGUAGCGGUGAAAUGCGCAGAUAUCAGGAGGAACACCGGUGGCGAAGGCGGGUCUCUGGGUAGUAACUGACGCUGAGGAGCGAAAGCAUGGGUAGCGAACAGGAUUAGAAACCCUAGUAGUCC
Molecule: ribosomal RNA, 273 nt
Filed under: uncultured prokaryote
Description: partial 16S ribosomal RNA
Rfam family: Bacterial small subunit ribosomal RNA
Source: RNAcentral